UUUUGGCUUCUAGCUCUCUUCACAGCACGUUGUAGCACCUCAAAUUUGCCCUCCUCAUUCAUGCAUUCAUUUUAGGUCAUUUAACAUUUCAUAUUGCAUUUCAACAUGUUCAAAUAGGGUCUGUUCAUCAUUCAAAAUGUUAAUCUUGAAGGAGCAAAAGUUUGUUCGUGAGCUGUCAUGCUCGCUAGGCGAGCAGAAUGGGUCGCCUAGCGAGUCCCAAGAAAAGCCACCAGAAUCACCUGCGCUCAGAGGAAUUUCCUGAACUGUCAUGCUCGCUAGGCAAAGCC
Molecule: long non-coding RNA, 287 nt
Filed under: Lathyrus oleraceus (garden pea)
Lineage: Eukaryota; Viridiplantae; Streptophyta; Magnoliopsida; Fabales; Fabaceae
Description: Pisum sativum (pea) long non-coding RNA (PSAT_LNC016472)
Source: RNAcentral